Molecule: ribosomal RNA, 274 nt
Filed under: uncultured bacterium
Lineage: Bacteria
Description: partial 16S ribosomal RNA
Rfam family: Bacterial small subunit ribosomal RNA
Source: RNAcentral
AUACGGAGGGUGCAAGCGUUGUUCGGAAUCACUGGGCGUAAAGGGCGCGCAGGCGGCUUGGUAAGUCAGAUGUGAAAGCCCAUGGCUCAACCAUGGAAGUGCAUUUGAAACUGUCAGACUUGAGUACUAGAGGGGAAAGUGGAAUUCCCGGUGUAGAGGUGAAAUUCGUAGAUAUCGGGAGGAAUACCGGUGGGGAAGGCGACUUUCUGGCUAGAUACUGACGCUGAGGCGCGAAAGCGUGGGGAGCAAACAGGAUUAGAAACCCGAGUAGUCC